GUGCUCACUUUGGCAGCACAUAUACUAAAAUUGGAACGAUACAAAGAUUAGCACGCCCCCUGCGCAAGAAUGACAUGCAAAUUUGUGAAGCGUCCCAUAUUAAA
This 104-nucleotide small nuclear RNA is filed under the name Prolemur simus (greater bamboo lemur). The record is from RNAcentral. Lineage: Eukaryota; Metazoa; Chordata; Mammalia; Primates; Lemuridae.